CUAGUGAUUAGAGUUUGAUCCUGGCUCAGGAUGAACGCUGGCGGCGUGCUUAACACAUGCAAGUCGAACGAACCUUCGGGUUAGUGGCGGACGGGUGAGUAACGCGUGAGAAUCUGCCCUCAGGAGGGGGAUAACGGUUGGAAACGACCGCUAAUACCCCAUAUGCCGAGAGGUGAAAUGAAUUUCGCCUGAGGAUGAGCUCGCGUCUGAUUAGUUAGUUGGUGGGGUAAUGGCCUACCAAGACAUCGAUCAGUAGCUGGUCUGAGAGGAUGAUCAGCCACACUGGGACUGAGACACGGCCCAGACUCCUACGGGAGGCAGCAGUGGGGAAUUUUCCGCAAUGGGCGAAAGCCUGACGGAGCAACGCCGCGUGAGGGAUGAAGGCCUCUGGGCUGUAAACCUCUUUUAUCAAGGAAGAAGAUCUGACGGUACUUGAUGAAUAAGCCACGGCUAAUUCCGUGCCAGCAGCCGCGGUAAUACGGGAGUGGCAAGCGUUAUCCGGAAUUAUUGGGCGUAAAGCGUCCGCAGGCGGUCUGUCAAGUCUGCUGUUAAAGCGUGGAGCUUAACUCCAUUUCGGCAGUGGAAACUGACAGACUAGAGUGUGGUAGGGGCAGAGGGAAUUCCCGGUGUAGCGGUGAAAUGCGUAGAUAUCGGGAAGAACACCAGUGGCGAAGGCGCUCUGCUGGGCCAUAACUGACGCUCAUGGACGAAAGCCAGGGGAGCGAAAGGGAUUAGAUACCCCUGUAGUCCUGGCCGUAAACGAUGAACACUAGGUGUCGGGGGAAUCGACCCCCUCGGUGUCGUAGCCAACGCGUUAAGUGUUCCGCCUGGGGAGUACGCACGCAAGUGUGAAACUCAAAGGAAUUGACGGGGGCCCGCACAAGCGGUGGAGUAUGUGGUUUAAUUCGAUGCAACGCGAAGAACCUUACCAGGGUUUGACAUCCUGCGAAUCUCUUGGAAACGAGAGAGUGCCUUCGGGAACGCAGUGACAGGUGGUGCAUGGCUGUCGUCAGCUCGUGUCGUGAGAUGUUGGGUUAAGUCCCGCAACGAGCGCAACCCACGUCGUUAGUUGCCAGCAUUUAGUUGGGCACUCUAGCGAGACCGCCGGUGAUAAACCGGAGGAAGGUGUGGAUGACGUCAAGUCAUCAUGCCCCUUACAUCCUGGGCUACACACGUACUACAAUGCUACGGACAAAGGGCAGCAAACUCGCGAGAGCUAGCAAAUCCCAUAAACCGUGGCUCAGUUCAGAUCGUAGGCUGCAACUCGCCUACGUGAAGGAGGAAUCGCUAGUAAUCGCAGGUCAGCAUACUGCGGUGAAUACGUUCCCGGGCCUUGUACACACCGCCCGUCACACCAUGGAAGUUGGCCACGCCCGAAGCCGUUACUCCAACCCUUGUGGAGGAGGACGUCGAAGGUGGGGCUGAUGACUGGGGUGAAGUCGUAACAAGGUAACC
RNAcentral lists this ribosomal RNA (1455 nucleotides) under uncultured cyanobacterium. RNAcentral describes it as "16S ribosomal RNA". It matches the Rfam family "Bacterial small subunit ribosomal RNA". Lineage: Bacteria; Bacillati; Cyanobacteriota. The record is from RNAcentral.